Molecule: RNase P RNA, 367 nt
Filed under: Planctomycetota bacterium
Lineage: Bacteria; Pseudomonadati; Planctomycetota
Description: Planctomycetes bacterium RNase P RNA component class A
Rfam family: Bacterial RNase P class A
About the family: Ribonuclease P (RNase P) is a ubiquitous endoribonuclease, found in archaea, bacteria and eukarya as well as chloroplasts and mitochondria. Its best characterised activity is the generation of mature 5'-ends of tRNAs by cleaving the 5'-leader elements of precursor-tRNAs.
Source: RNAcentral
GAAGGGGGCUGGGCGGCCGCUCCUCGUUCGCCGAGGGGAGGAAAGUCCGGGCACCUCAGGGCAGGGUGCUGGGUAACGCCCAGCGUCCGCAAGGACAGGGAAAGUGCCACAGAGAAGAGACCGCCGGCGCGAGUUCUCGGACUCGUCUCGGUAAGGGUGAAACGGCGAGGUAAGAGCUCACCGCGGGCUCGGAGACGAGCACGGCACGGCAAACCCCACCUGGUGAAAGGUCCGACAUGGGGUCCGCGUAGCCCGCGCACGGCCCCGAGGAGACCGUUUGAGGCGCGCAGUGAUGCCCGUCCCAGAGAAAUGGCCGCCGCCGCAGCUCGCUGCGGUAGCAGGACCCGGCUUACGGCCCCCUUCCCUU